GCCUCCGCCUUUGGGGCUAUAAAAGCAUUAAUGACUAAACUCCAUCUGCAGCUCAAGGAAACUUCUCUGAUGAAUUUAUUGGUGGUGGUGGGGAACCUUUGGGAAACCUUCUGGCUCUGAAGGGCUUCUGAGAUGGACUUUUGAAAGGGUUUGAGGAAAUCGUAAAGCUGGCUGUACUGACCUGCAGGCGAUGGCGUGGUGGUGUCUGGAAGGUGGAUACUGCUGCUUCCUGACAGCUGUCAAGGCAAGAAGAGGAACUUGAAGCAAUGGGAAGGGCUGCACUUCCCCACUGGGGAAGCUGGGCAGGGAAUUGGAUGGGGACAGCUGCUUCUGUUCUGCGAUUUCAGGUGGUGGCUUUAAAGUUUAAAGGGCCCAUGGCUGCUGCUCUGGGCUAGGAAGGGAAGCUCACCACUCCUCUGUUGGGCUGCAGGGGUAGACUCACUCCAGUUCUCUGAACCACUGCAAGCACUGCACAGCCAGCCACUGCUCAAACAGGAGAGGACCAGGAAGCCUUCCCCACUGGGCUAGAGCAAUGAGAUGAGCCUCCCACAGUCCCGAGCCCUACACCAGAUCCUACAUGUUUUUGUGGCUGUCUGUGGUGACCUGGGAUGAAGCUGGGACCAGAUGAAAAGCAGAGGAAAUACACUCGGAUCCAAGUGCCCCUGGCCCUCAUGACCCGACCCCUGGAGAAGCAUCUGAGUUACCCGACAUCCUGGUCAGCAGGAGCUGGGCCGGAGACUGGAUGCUGCAGCUUCAGAGACUCAGCACCUAGGAAGGCUCCUGUGCAGGGAAAAAGGCAGAGAUGCGACAUUUUUAAAGUUUCACAAAACACGAGGCAGCACCCAGGUCCCUGGAUCAGGAGACACACAGAAUUAAUGUUUUAUACCUUCGGGUAUAGGUUUGAGUUUUCCCCCCCUCAUGCCAAGUAUUUAAAACCUCUAGAAACCCAUGAUUUGACAAUCAAUGAUUGCGCGAUACUUUCAAUUUGAAUAUUCAAAGGCUUAACAAAAUGGACUAUCUUCUGCAGAAAUCCUGCACACAGGCACCCCACAGAGAGUCCAGAGAAACAGAGAGUGAGGUCCCUUUGGGUCCUGACCCUUGCUUUUCUUCUAUUUUAAACAUUUUGUCCACCUGCUCACAGACAGAGCAGGUGUCCUCAAAGAUGCUCUAUGUCAGUGCCUCAAAGGCUGCUCAGAAGCCCCCACUGACCUGGGCUGUGCCCGGUGGACCACCUGAGCCAGGUUGGACAGCCACACUGAAUCUCACUUGUCCAGUUUCCAGUUUAAGGGGGAAACCUCAAGUUUUGGAGAGUGAACAUGGCAGACAGAGGGUGUGGCACAGCAAAGAGUCACUUUGGGCCCAGGCUGCAGGCCAGAGGACAUCGGAGGCUGAAGCUUGCCACUUUGUAUUCCUCUGGCCCUGCCUGGCCACAAGGUUUCCCUGUCUGCAUCCUCCCUCAUGCUAGGCCACAGACACUGAGGAUCCAGCAAGCAGUCCUUGUACAUCAGCGCUCAUUUUGCUCUUCGGAGCUCUGGACCAUCAUAGCUGUCCUGAGAUGUCCAUGCCUAGACCAUCUAAGCUUCCUUUAGGCCAGGAUUCCACUGCUGCAUUGAGGCAAGCUCUAUUCCAAUGUUUUGGCUUGUUUUUGAUUCCUCGAACCCCAGCCUUUUUACCUCAUAGAACUCCUGCUUCUUUUAGAGGAAGGGUGUGGGUUUUUAAAAUUUUAUUACUAUUACCAUUAUUAUUAUUAUUAUUAUUAUUAUUAUUAUUAUUAUUGGAAGGCUCUGAAGAGAGAGGGAGGAAGAAUUUGGAGUCAAGCUGUCUUCUUGGACGCCUCACAGAUAACGUAGGCCCGUGCUGAUGUGUAUUUCUGAAGCUCUGCCUGAGUCGCUCUUUGUCCUGUGAUUUGAAGGAUGAAGAGACUGGAGUGAUAUUUCCAUAUCAGGAAAUAUUUCAUGUCAGGUCAAGAUGUCACAGGGAGACAAAAGGGUCCCCUUUGCAAAUAACUAGGAUAUUUCCAAGAAUGCAGGUAAAGUGAUGGUAUAGACCUCUAUUCUUUAAUCCCCGAGUUGUCUGAAGUGCAAACAAAACAAAACAAAACAAAAAACCAACCAACCAAACAAAAGCCCAUAAAAGCAAGCUUUAGAUUCAAAAGCCUUUAGAAAAAUAUCUGAAAAAUUAAAAUAUAUCGGAUAUAGUAUAUUAGAUAUAGAGUAUAUAACAAACAGCUCAGCUAAAGGUUCUCUGGGGAUGAUAAAUGCAUGCUGGGGUAGACCUGUCUGCCAGGCAGGUGGGAGCCACAUAUCUGGGAAAGAGUCAGGGCUGGGGACUCUUGAGGUAGCAUCUGGUGGUGGAGAGUAGGGGGAGAUGUUGUUGUACUUGGUCCAGCUGGUGUUUAUCAGCCACUGGAACCUAUUUCUGCAAAGAUAGGCCUGAGGACCAGACCAGAGAAAGGACCACAGGAUCUGAGAGAAACCAUCUCCCUGGCACUACAUCCUCCCUUCCUCUAGUCAAUGUUUUUCUUUUCUCAUUCUUUUACACUAAAUAUUUUUCUUCAGCUCUCCUUUCACAUAGAAAUGAGCAUAGGUGGCCUGAGCUCCUAGUUUUCCCUUGAUAUAUCAAGGACAUUGAAGCUGAUUGGGUUCUCCAGAGAGAACACAGACUGGAAGACAUAGGCUCUUUAGAAGCCUGGUGACUACAGAGGUAACAAUGAGCAAAGAAAUCUGUAUUCCUUUCUCCCAGAAGUCUUUGCCUGAGCCAUGGUUAACAUCCUGGGGGCAUUUAUGUGCUAGUGCAGUUCCUGAGGUUCAGAGUCUGAUCAUGUUGCUGACAAAUAACUUCAGAAAACUAUUUCCACAGGCCCAUUUUGAGAAUCUUCCCUGUGCUAUCUAUACUUCAGGUCAGCUCAACAUUCAGGAGGUGAACGUUUGGAUUCUUAUUCUUGUAACGGAAAAACCUACGUACAGACAUUUCAGAGCCAAAGCUAUGCUUCAGGAGGAAGGAGACAAUACUUUCUCAGUAGAUCCCCUUUGUAUCUCUCUCUCUGUCUCUGUGAGAUGUGUGUGUGUGUGUUCGCGUAUGUGUCUGUGUGGUGAUGAUAUCUAGAGCAGCCAGCCAUUUUUGCUUUGAAACUCCAAAUGCCUAUAAAACUCAGUACCCUUCUUGAUUGCUUGCUCACUUGCUCAUUUAUCCAUCCACCCACCCACCCACCCAUCCAUCCAUGCAUCCAUCCAUCCACCCACCCAUCCACGCAUCUAUCCAUCCACCCAUCCACCCAUCCACCCAUCCACCCAUCCACCCAUCCACCCAUCCAUCCAUCCAUCCACCCAUCCACCCAUCCAUCCAUCCAUCCAUCCAUCCAUCCAUCCAUCCAUCCACCCACUCACCCAUCCAUGCAUCCACCCUUCCACCCAUCCACCCAUCCAUGCAUCCAUGCAUCCAUCCAUCCACCCAUCCACGCAUCCAUCCAUGCAUCCAUCCAUCCACCCAUCCAUGCAUCCAUCCAUCUAUCCAUCCAUCCAUCCAUCCAUCCAUCCAUCCAUCCAUCCAUGCAUCCAUCCAUCCAUUCACCCAUCCAUCUAUCCAUCCAUCCAUCCAUCCAUCCAUCCAUCCAUCCAUCCACCCAUCCAUGCAUUCACCCAUCCAUGCAUCCAUCCAUCUAUCCAUCCAUCCAUCCAUCCAUCCAUCCACCCAUCCAUGCAUUCACCCCCCCCCCACCCAUGCAUGCAUCCAUCUGUCUGUCUAUCUCGGUGUUGAGAUAGAACCCAGAGCAUGCUGGGUAAGCAGUCUACAACAGAGCUACAUCCCUAGCUCAGAAUCCACAUCCUGGGUGCCAGGCCAGUGUUGCAUAGUAACAGAACUGGUGUUCAGACUUUUGUAAAUAUCACCCAAAGCCCUUGCUGUGUUAUCAGUGUGUCCAAGGGACUGAAGACUGCAGCAUGCUGAUGACAGAAUAUUCCAGAAACAUGCAGUCCUGAAGAAGCAACUGGCUAAUAGUGAGGAUAAGCUGGUCAUUAUGCUGACUGUAGUUUGUGGUUGUCCAACCAGAACCCUCUUCCUGGUGGCUUAUUGCUUCUGGGAUGCCUCCCUGAAGGCCCAAUAAUCCCUCUGAGGUUGUAAAAAAAAUGGGGGUCUGGUCUUCUGUCACAGCCCCUUCAUUUAUAACAUUAUCUUAAUGCUGGAUGUGGGAGAGGCUAUUGAAAUGCUGAGAGGGAGUAGCAUCAUGACCAGUGGCUUUCUAGCUUGUAGUUCCAUUGCUGGCUCAUAGGAAAGUCUGUGUGGAGGAGAUGGGUCUCACUAUUUGUAAGGCGGAUUUUGCCUUUAAAUGAGUUAUAAUCCACUGAGAUGUUCAUUCCUUGAGCACCAGGUGGGUGCCAGGCACAGUAAUGAGUACCAGGGGUACAAAGAUAAUAAGCCUUGGUUUCUGCCAGCAAUGGCUCCAUUCUCCCAUGUGCUCACUACCAUUUUCCUAUUGUUGGUUCAUUUGCACAUUCAUUCAUUCACUCAUUCAUUUACUCAUCCAUCGAUUCAUUCAUUCACCAUUUAUUCAAUCACCAUAUGUUAAUUGCCCUGACUGAUCCAGUACUUCCUUUUCACCCAAGCCUUCUUUCCUUAAAGCCCCUGUCCAUAGUUUUCCCCAUCCUUCCUAAAUCAGCUUUUCAGAUCUUUGCUUUUCCAUGCCACAAACUCAGAAAUCCUUUUGUUUGUCACUGACCCUCCUAAAUUCAGCAGCACCCAGGGUGAGUGGAUGCGCAUUGUUAAUGAGUGAAGUUGAACGUUUUUAAUUGCAUGCAAAUGACACUGCACAGCCUUGUGUUCUGCCCUCCGAAACAGGUUUUAUUAAACGUAGACAUGUGCAUAUUAAAAGGCCUUCAGUGUAAAGAAAAGGUGUAGUUAUUCCUUCCAAAUUUGACUAUAGCCCUACAUUUUCUUUAGUAAUGCAAAGUUCUUUUGUCACCUCAGUGUUGGGACACUGUUACCAAGUGUUGUGGGAAAUAUCAAGUUCCAAAAUGUUGACGACAUAGAAGAAGCAAGUAUUUAUGGGUCCUUGGGAAGCACGUUUAUGGGUCCAUGUGUCAGUGACCAAGAAGACUAGGAGAUGGAGGUUGUGUAGUAAUGUACACAUAGUCAGUCUUUCCCCAUAGUCUGUAUUCAGAAUUUAGACUUUCCUUUAAGAAAAGGUUAUGAUGAGCCAACCUUUGAUCAUUUAUUAUUUAUAUAGGAAAAGUACCAUACCAUACUGCUUACAAACUUACUGUUUUACUUAUAACAUUUUUAUUGCACCAUACUUCUAACAAAAAAAAUGUAUCAAGAAUGUUGUCGUGCAAAGCUGUGAAUAUUUCACCAAAGUUGGGAAAUAAAAUGGCUGAGUGAUCA
Apodemus sylvaticus (European woodmouse) is the source of this 5376-nucleotide long non-coding RNA. RefSeq lists it as uncharacterized. The record is from RefSeq and is a predicted model, not a curated record. The transcript has 5 exons. NCBI's taxonomy places the organism in Eukaryota, Metazoa, Chordata, Mammalia, Rodentia, Muridae.